This 512-nucleotide ribosomal RNA is filed under the name uncultured bacterium. Its description in RNAcentral is "bacterial SSU rRNA". It matches the Rfam family "Bacterial small subunit ribosomal RNA", at positions 10 to 518 of the family's 1533-position model. The record is from RNAcentral.
AGUUUGAUUCUGGCUCAGAAUGAACGUUGGCGGCGUGGAUUAGGCAUGCAAGUCGAACGGUAAGGUUGCUUAGCUUGCUUUGUAACCCUAGAGUGGCGAAAGGGAUAGUACAAUGUAGAUCAUAUACCCUCAGGUUGGGGAUAGCGUCUGGAAACGGGCGGUAAUACCCGAUAACAUCUCCGGAUCAAAGGUGAGAUUCCGCCUGAGGAUUAGUUUUACACACUAUUAGCUUUGUUGGCGGGGUAAUGGCCCACCAAGGCGACGAUGGUUACCGGGCGUGAGAGCGUGACCCGGAUCACUGGGACUGAGACACUGCCCAGACACCUACGGGUGGCUGCAGUCGAGAAUCUUCGGCAAUGGACGAAAGUCUGACCGAGCGACGCCGCGUGUAAUGAUGAAGGCCUUCGGGUUGUAAAAUACUGUCGAUUAGGCGGAAAUGCGCAGGGGUUAUCUCCUGCGUUUGACCUUAUCAUUGGAGGUAAGGACGGGCUUAAGUUCGUGCCAGCCGCGGC